UAUGUGUGUGUGAGUGUGUGUGAUUAGAAAUCAUGUCUGAAAACUGCCACAACCAGUUGUGUAGGCAUAUCAAAAUGACUUUAUACUGUAGAUUUCAAACUUAUUUUUGUUUGUUUUUUUUCCUAAUGUAUGGAAUUAUUGUUAUCAUGAAUUUCCUUGCUCCAUGCCACCUAAAAUAGGUUAUGGAGAAUAGUUUUAAAGGAGGGAGAUUUGUACUAUUUUUUUUCUCCCCUUAGCCAACCAAAGCAGGGUUAAUCAUCUCACACUCCAGGAUAAAUAACAAGUGAAUUGCUAAAACUGUUAAUCUCUGAAAGCAAGAUUCUGUGAACAAAUGAGCCAUGUCUACUUAAGGAACUUAUUAUGUCUUCUCUGGGAUAUAUAGCAGGAGGGAAUGUUUUCAAAAGGCAAUCUGAUGGUUCUCUGGAUAUAAUCAAGCUUGAGAUUCAUGGCUAAUUGGGCUCUAGAUUACCCUUACCUGAGAUGACGAUCAGUGAACAUGUCAUCAUCUAUGCCAUAGCCCUGAUGUUCCAGAUGCUUCGCCUGAUCUUUGUCUUAGCUUUAAAUCAGAAGACAAUCUGUGACAAAUGUUUGGCAUCACCCAGAUAUUUAAGAAUUGUGACUCUCCUUCCGAAGAAGCAGAUGAAGUCAAGGAUUUCUUGGUUGUCCUACAUAUUCUGUCAUUUUUUUCCCAAGGGUCUGCUUAUAUCAGGAUACACUCUAUGAACUACAAAUGUUUGACAUUACCAAGCGAACUCAAUAAAUCAGUGUUUGAUAUAGUGGGAAACAUGAAUUACUUAGGAAAAAACUCCUUAUUUGAUAAAAACUGAUGGAAAAGUAAAAAGCAGUCUGGCAGAAAUUACACUUAGACCAACAUUUUACACCAUAUGCCACAAUAUA
Molecule: long non-coding RNA, 897 nt
Organism: Dromiciops gliroides (monito del monte)
Lineage: Eukaryota; Metazoa; Chordata; Mammalia; Microbiotheria; Microbiotheriidae
Exons: 4
Source: RefSeq, a predicted model, not a curated record